RNAcentral lists this ribosomal RNA (1354 nucleotides) under uncultured bacterium. Its description in RNAcentral is "bacterial SSU rRNA". It matches the Rfam family "Bacterial small subunit ribosomal RNA", at positions 42 to 1388 of the family's 1533-position model. The record is from RNAcentral.
GCAGGCCUAACACAUGCAAGUCGAGCGGUAGCACAGAGAGCUUGCUCUCGGGUGACGAGCGGCGGACGGGUGAGUAAUGUCUGGGAAACUGCCUGAUGGAGGGGGAUAACUACUGGAAACGGUAGCUAAUACCGCAUAAUGUCGCAAGACCAAAGUGGGGGACCUUCGGGCCUCAUGCCAUCAGAUGUGCCCAGAUGGGAUUAGCUAGUAGGUGGGGUAACGGCUCACCUAGGCGACGAUCCCUAGCUGGUCUGAGAGGAUGACCAGCCACACUGGAACUGAGACACGGUCCAGACUCCUACGGGAGGCAGCAGUGGGGAAUAUUGCACAAUGGGCGCAAGCCUGAUGCAGCCAUGCCGCGUGUGUGAAGAAGGCCUUCGGGUUGUAAAGCACUUUCAGCGGGGAGGAAGGCGAUAAGGUUAAUAACCUUGUCGAUUGACGUUACCCGCAGAAGAAGCACCGGCUAACUCCGUGCCAGCAGCCGCGGUAAUACGGAGGGUGCAAGCGUUAAUCGGAAUUACUGGGCGUAAAGCGCACGCAGGCGGUCUGUCAAGUCGGAUGUGAAAUCCCCGGGCUUAACCUGGGAACUGCAUUCGAAACUGGCAGGCUAGAGUCUUGUAGAGGGGGGUAGAAUUCCAGGUGUAGCGGUGAAAUGCGUAGAGAUCUGGAGGAAUACCGGUGGCGAAGGCGGCCCCCUGGACAAAGACUGACGCUCAGGUGCGAAAGCGUGGGGAGCAACAAGGAUUAGAUACCCUGGUAGUCCACGCCGUAAACGAUGUCGAUUUGGAGGUUGUGCCCUUGAGGCGUGGCUUCCGGAGCUAACGCGUUAAAUCGACCGCCUGGGGAGUACGGCCGCAAGGUUAAAACUCAAAUGAAUUGACGGGGGCCCGCACAAGCGGUGGAGCAUGUGGUUUAAUUCGAUGCAACGCGAAGAACCUUACCUGGUCUUGACAUCCACAGAACUUUCCAGAGAUGGAUUGGUGCCUUCGGGAACUGUGAGACAGGUGCUGCAUGGCUGUCGUCAGCUCGUGUUGUGAAAUGUUGGGUUAAGUCCCGCAACGAGCGCAACCCUUAUCCUUUGUUGCCAGCGGUUCGGCCGGGAACUCAAAGGAGACUGCCAGUGAUAAACUGGAGGAAGGUGGGGAUGACGUCAAGUCAUCAUGGCCCUUACGACCAGGGCUACACACGUGCUACAAUGGCAUAUACAAAGAGAAGCGACCUCGCGAGAGCAAGCGGACCUCAUAAAGUAUGUCGUAGUCCGGAUUGGAGUCUGCAACUCGACUCCAUGAAGUCGGAAUCGCUAGUAAUCGUAGAUCAGAAUGCUACGGUGAAUACGUUCCCGGGCCUUGUACAC